UAUGGUAUAACUUAGUGGCAGACGGGUGAGUAAUGUAUAGGAAUCUACCUAGUAGUACGGAAUAAUUGUUGGAAACGGCAACUAAUACCGUAUACGCCCUACGGGGGAAAGAUUUAUUGCUAUUAGAUGAGCCUAUAUUAGAUUAGCUAGUUGGUAGGGUAAUAGCCUACCAAGGCAAUGAUCUAUAGCUGAUCUGAGAGGAUGAUCAGCCACACUGGAACUGAGAUACGGUCCAGACUCCUACGGGAGGCAGCAGUGGGGAAUAUUGGACAAUGGGCGAAAGCCUGAUCCAGCUAUGCCGCAUGAGUGAAGAAGGCCUUUGGGUUGUAAAGCUCUUUUAGUGAGGAAGAUAAUGACGGUACUCACAGAAGAAGUCCUGGCUAACUCCGUGCCAGCAGCCGCGGUAAUACGGAGAGGGCUAGCGUUAUUCGGAAUUAUU
RNAcentral lists this ribosomal RNA (439 nucleotides) under Wolbachia pipientis. Its description in RNAcentral is "bacterial SSU rRNA". It matches the Rfam family "Bacterial small subunit ribosomal RNA", at positions 81 to 555 of the family's 1533-position model. Lineage: Bacteria; Pseudomonadati; Pseudomonadota; Alphaproteobacteria; Rickettsiales; Anaplasmataceae. The record is from RNAcentral.